Molecule: ribosomal RNA, 1065 nt
Filed under: Triticum aestivum (bread wheat)
Lineage: Eukaryota; Viridiplantae; Streptophyta; Magnoliopsida; Poales; Poaceae
Description: partial small subunit ribosomal RNA
Source: RNAcentral
AUGGACGGGAACAAAGGACCGGUGGUGGUGACCGGAGCGUCGGGUUUCGUAGGAUCAUGGCUCGUCAUGAAGCUCCUCCAGGUCGGGUACACCGUCCGGGCCACCGUGCGCGACCCGGCCAACGUUGAGAAGAACAAGCCAUUGCUGGAGCUUCCCGGAGCCAAGGAGCGGCUGUCCAUCUGGAAGGCCGACCUGAGCGAGGAAGGCAGCUUCGACGACGCCAUCGCCGGCUGCACCGGCGUCUUCCACGUCGCCACGCCCAUGGACUUCGACUCCCAAGACCCCGAAAACGAGGUGAUCAAGCCGACGGUGGAAGGGAUGCUGAGCAUCAUGAGGGCCUGCAAGGAGGCUGGCACCGUGAAACGCAUAGUCUUCACCUCCUCCGCCGGCAGCGUCAACAUCGAGGAGCGGCAGCGGCCAGCCUACGACCAGGACAACUGGAGCGACAUCGACUUCUGCCGCCGCGUCAAGAUGACAGGAUGGAUGUACUUCGUGUCCAAGUCCCUGGCAGAGAAGGCCGCCAUGGAGUACGCCAGCGAGAACGGCCUGGACUUCAUCAGCAUCAUCCCCACGCUCGUCGUCGGCCCGUUCCUCAGCGCCGGCAUGCCGCCCAGCCUCGUCACCGCCCUCGCGCUCAUCACGGGGAACGAGGCCCACUACUCGAUCCUGAAGCAGGUGCAGCUGGUCCACCUGGAUGACCUCUGCGACGCCAUGACCUUCCUCUUCGAGCACCCGGAGGCCAACGGCCGCUACAUCUGCUCCUCCCACGACGCCACCAUCCACGGCCUCGCCAGGAUGCUCCGGGACAGGUUCCCCGAGUACAGCAUCCCACAGAAGUUCGCAGGUGUCGACGACGACCUCCAGCCCAUCCACUUCUCCUCCAAGAAGCUCCUCGACCACGGCUUCAGCUUCCGGUACACCGCCGAGGACAUGUUCGACGCCGCCAUCCGCACCUGCAGGGAGAAGGGCCUCAUUCCGCUCGGAGACGCCCCGCCGCCUGCAGCCGGCGGCAAGCUGGGAGCUCUUGCUGCGGGGGAAGGCCAAGCCAUUGGUGCAGAAACAUAA